UGGGGAAUUUUGGACAAUGGGGGCAACCCUGAUCCAGCAAUGCCGCGUGUGUGAAGAAGGCCUUCGGGUUGUAAAGCACUUUUGUCCGGAAAGAAAACUUCGGGGCUAAUACCCCUGGAGGAUGACGGUACCGGAAGAAUAAGCACCGGCUAACUACGUGCCAGCAGCCGCGGUAAUACGUAGGGUGCGAGCGUUAAUCGGAAUUACUGGGCGUAAAGCGUGCGCAGGCGGUGCUGUAAGACCGAUGUGAAAUCCCCGGGCUUAACCUGGGAACUGCAUUGGUGACUGCAGCGCUGGAGUAUGUCAGAGGGGGGUGGAAUUCCACGUGUAGCAGUGAAACGCGUAGGGAUGUGGAGGAACACCGAUGGCGAAGGCAGCCCCCUGGGCCAAUACUGACGCUCAUGCACGAAAGCGUGGGGAGCAAACAGG
Molecule: ribosomal RNA, 429 nt
Filed under: Bacillota bacterium
Lineage: Bacteria; Bacillati; Bacillota
Description: Firmicutes bacterium partial 16S ribosomal RNA
Rfam family: Bacterial small subunit ribosomal RNA
Source: RNAcentral